CCAAAACAAAUAAUGUCUUUCCUUCCUAGAGCACUUUGAAUAGUGAAUUUACGUUUAUUUUCUAUUUGAUCUUUCAAAUCUCAGUGGGCAGACAGAAACAGAGAGCAAACUGAGGUUCAGGGAGGUACCCAGGGACAAUGCAAAACUUCAACUCUGGUCUUCUCUCUGAUGAUCUGACACCCUUCUACGUCACCACACUAAUCUUGUCACAUCAGGCAAGGACGUGAAUCAUCCCUUUGGUGGAUCCCCAACCACUGAUGUUGUCAUGGCUCGAUGAUCUUCCUUCUGACACAAAGCCUAACGCUACGUCACAAUGCGUACAUCACUCACCUCACUUCAUCUCAUCACGUAGACUUUGUAGCAUCUCACAUCAUCACAAGAAGAAGGCAUGUGGGGAAGCGCUGUUGGUGGCCCAUUUUUGCAACGUAGAGCCUGUCUCCUGUGAGAGACCCAGAAGCUCCUUCUUUGAUAAUUAGUCUCCUGCCUCGGUCAGAGCUGUUAAGAACUCUGUAUGAACUGCCACCACUUGUGGGUGUGUGGAACCCCGUGAGCUUCCUAUAGCUACAGCUGCAGGUGACAUUUUGAGACACUUCUGCAAGGCUUUCUCAACUUACCUUAAAGCAGUGGUUCUCAGACUUCAGUGUGCAUUCGAAUCACCUGGAGGGCUUGUUAAACCAGCUGGCUGGGCUCCACCUGGAGAGGUUUAUUCGUUAGGUCUGGGAUGCAUCCUAAGAAUCUGCAUAUCUAACAAGUUCCCAGGUGAUGCUGAUGCUGCUUGUCCUGAAGACACACUCCAAGCUCCACUGGGGUUUUUAGCUGAAAUGG
This 825-nucleotide long non-coding RNA is filed under the name Equus caballus (horse). Its description in RNAcentral is "lncRNA (ENSECAG00000044387.1)". The record is from RNAcentral. Lineage: Eukaryota; Metazoa; Chordata; Mammalia; Perissodactyla; Equidae.